AAAAAAAGAAGAAAAAAAUUGAAAAACCCAUCCAUCUCCCACCUCAUCCCCCCACACCCUCUCCCUCCCUUCUCUCUUCUACAACCUACACCCAUUCUUUCCCUUCUCGCUUCUGCAACCUACACCCAACCCAACAAAAUCCCACCCAAUGGAAUUCUAAAUCAACAAGAAACCCAUCCAAUUUCUUAAAUUUAUCAAAAACCCAGUUGACCCAAAUCCCUAAUUUGGAUCAUUCCCAAAUCCUAACCAAUUUUUGAGCAUUCCUAGCCCCUGACACCACCCCACUGGACUCCAACAAUGGCACAUGGUGGCUCCCUUGGUUCGGUUAAUCUCUCUCCUCGAGUGGCUCGCGAACCAUAGCUGCUUCGAAUUGAAUUUCAAAUUUGUGUUCCUCAGAUUUUGGGGAUUAGGGUUUUUGCAAAUGGUGGAGGUGAAAAGGAUGGAAGAGAGAAAAUGGAGGGAAGGUGAAGCGGGUGGAGAUGGGUCGGGUAAAGAAGGGAGAGAGCGGGCGUGAGGUGAGGUAAGAAAGGUGGGUGUGGGUUGUAGAGGAGAUGAGGGAGGGUGGUGUGGAUUGCAGAGGAGAGAAGUGAGGAAAGGUGGGUGGGGAUUGCAAAAGAGAGGAAAGAGGGUGUGGGUUGCAGAGGGAGGGAGGGAGGGAGGGAGAAGGCGGGUGGGUAUAUAUAUUUUUAUUUUUAUUUUUAUUUUUUUUGUGUGUGUUUUUGUAUUUUUUUAAAUUUUUUUAAAUUUUUUAAUAUUCAAGUUGGCCCAUAUUGACACGUUGCGCUCAGUUAUUGUUCACGUGAGAGUCACAUCAUCAGUUAACAGAAGUUCUAACGGAAAACUUAACGGAUGUAUGAGAGUGUCCCAGAAUUAUAAAUUUAGGUACCUGAUUGAGACGAAAAAAACUUAAUGUACCAAAUGUUGAAAAUCAAUAAACUUCAGGGUAGUAAACUGAGAUUAAUCAUUUUCUAUAGACUAUUUGUAUUUGUUAAGUGGGUGGCAUUUUUGUUAUUUUGCCUCAACAAAUGUGCCUUUCCAAAGCAGGCGGUCAAAAAGCGUCGCUCCUUUCUUUUCCCGUUAAAAGCUUCGUUCCACCGUUUUUCAAGAAAAAUGAUAAAAGUUAUCGACCCACGCCUAUCCUCAACUACAUGUCGUACUGUUAGUGUUUUACCACUGUUAAGUAUGUUAUCAGCCAGUCAACUUCUAUCAAACAGUCAAAUUGCCCACCUUAAAAAUGGAUACUCGGCUCAGUAAAACAGUAGUUAGUUUGAAAAGUUAGGGAGUUUGAAAGGUGGUGGGUGCACCAAAUACCCGUGCCUCUGCAUUCAUUUCCACCUCAUACUAGGGUUACGUGGCUGGUGACCCUCCACAUCUUCUGCCCUAAUAUGUUUAUGAUAUGUGUUGUCAUGCAUGUGAACCAUGUAGCUUGGAGGGGACCUGUUUUGGGUCGGUCCAGAGGCUUUCAUUUAAGAAAAUACAAGUGCAACCCAAAUACCACGUUUAGGAGCCUAGGUUGAUUCUGGUUAUUUAUGUUUGUGAGAGAUACAGAGUAAAGACGUUUAGAUUAACAAACAUGCAUGAUUGAUCAUAACAUGCAUUCUAGUAUUCAAAAGUUUAGGGUUGGUAUUUAGUAAUUUGCGUAAAGAAUUUUAGGUCAGAUCUUCUGAUCACAUGACAUGUCUGACUAUCUAAUAUCGACAAGCAUAUGAAGACGUUAUAGACUAUCGACAUGUUGUUCAUGUUACUGAGACAAUCUAUACUUCGAUUACAUAGUCGUCAAUAUCAUGUAUGAAGUACUUCAAUAUACUUUUUACACAAAAUAUUAGUUAAUCCUGAGUGGUUGGUUAACUAGGGUUAUGCUUGCUGAAAGGCUUGUGUGUAUUCUCAUUUGUAAAUUAGUUCAAAAUCCCCCUUAGUAUAUAAUCUUUGAUUUCAUGAAUCCCACCAUUGAAAGACAUCAUAGUCCCACCUUUUAGCUUUAGAUCAGACAACAAAGAUCACCCAAUCAGUGUGAUUCUUGACUUUCUUGUUGAUACUUAGUUACUUACCCCAUCCCAUGGUGUUUGAUCUAGUGGGACCCUAAAGCACAAUUAAAUUGAACUAUAGCUUUUGUUCACAGAGAGCGAGCCUUGGCACAACAGAAAACUUGCUCCUUGGUGACUUAUUCGAGUCGUGGAAACAGUCUCAUUGCAAAGUAAGAGUAAGGCUGCGUACGACAAACAUUUCCCCUGACCCUCACAAAGUUGUUGGCUUGAGAUCCUUUUUUUUCAUUGUUUUUGUUCACAAAUCCAAAGAGAUUUUAAUGAAAAAAGCAACAAAUAUUAUUCAUGAGGGAAAAAAAAAAUUGAAGACAUGGGUUUGAAUGUGAUAGAUGAAAUGUAUAUAGGAGGAUGGAACCAAAUCCUGUCCCCUCUGCCAAUUUUAAUGGAAUUAUUUUGGAAUUUUCACAAACUCUGAGAAUUUUCCCUCUGCCAAAUUCAUAUAUUUUUUAAAAUAAUAAUUUUUUAUCCCGUUUUUCUGCCUUUUUCUUUCAGUUCUGCACUUUUUCUCCACAGGAUCUUAUCGGUAGCAGUGUUCUUGCUCCAAUUUCAGGCAGCAUAGCAAGAAGUGCAGUGUUACAGAGAAGCAUAUGUAUAGGAAGACUCAAUGCUCCAUCACUUGCCCCAUACAUUCUUCUCCCCUCACCAAUCAAAGCUUUCAACAACAUUGUUUUCUUUUCUUUGAGAUUAAACCAAAAACAAAAAAAUCUGCUAGAACACAGGUUGGUACGACGGUAUCAGUGAGGAUAUCAAUUUUUCUGAUAAAUAAUUUAGUUAUAUGUGUUUUGUAUUGCAUGAAAGUUUGGUUUUUUUUCACAUCGUCAUGGACAAAAUCUCAGUUACCAUUUCAAAUGAUCAUGUUUGAAGAGAUUUCAUUUCAUUUCUUGAUCCAACCCCCAAAUGCAAUAUUAAUGCUAAAGAAAAAAAUAAUAGUCUUUUAUUAUAAUUUCGAGAUUAGUACGUGUAUAGAUUCGAAACGAUAAAAUUUUCUCAAAAGCGAUACAUAUCUUUUAGGUUGAAAAUGUGAAUAGUUGGUCGAUACAUGCAACAGUGUCAUUGUCUAGACUCUAAACCGUGAACUUCCACUCCUUGAAUAAUGUAGAGGGAUCACAGACUUAGCAAAACAUGGCCAACCUGACAACUCCACAACGAGAUUUUACACAAUAAUGAUAUGAAUAUAGGAGAAGUUUAUGAACCCUAGGGUUUCUUAAGAAAAGUUGAUUUGUUGAGAAGCAUAAAUUUCAGUGCAAUUGGAUAAAAAUUUCCAGAACGAUAUAUGCUGCGGAACUACCUUUAAUCUUCUUAUGUUUUUUACAUUUAUUUUGUUGUUAUGCUAUGAGUUGGUUGAAAUGCCGUUAAUUUGAUUAUACAUGACUAGAAGUUUUUUGUGCUGAACGUUUAUUUUGCUCUAUAUAGGACAAAUUUUGUAUCGAUAAAAAGUCAUACGUUUUGUUACUUACAUGGUAUCAGUGACUUAUCAACACCAUAUUAACAAUCCGUUGUAUAAAUAGCGGACGCCCUGUUCCAAAAUGAACAGUAUAAUUUGGAAUUUGAAUAUAUAAACAAUGGGUACUGCUAAAUUUAUUGAAAAUUUGUGGCUUACUCUUUAUGUGUAUGGAGAAAAGAAAAAACAAUUAAGUACAUUUUGGUAGAGGAUAAAACCCAGAAGAAAGUAAAAUGUAGAAAAUGACCACCUCAGGUGGCUUCAUAUUGACAGUUGGAACAAGAACAUAUAACUAUGCAGCUGCACAUAUACUUGGUUUACAAGCAACGAUCUACCCUUCUCUUUCGAAGCUGUUAUCGUGCUUCUACUUCCGAAAAUGUUAAUAGAUUUACAGAAGGCAAUUGAUUUAAUGGUUUAUCAACCUUUGUCGUUAAAUUCGAAUACGUAGUCUGCUUAGGGGUAGGUAAAGUUGCCCCUUCAUUGCUCAACAUUGAAACAACAUCCGACAUGGUUGGCCUAUCCUCUGCACUGUCUUGGACACAUAACAGACCCACCUGAAUGCAGGUUACAAGGCUUUCCAUUGAACUUGAAUCAGCCAGUGUUGAAUCCAUCAACUCCGCUGCUCGCCCAGAUUUCCAUAAAUUCCAAGCCUGCAACAAUUUUCACAUUUUAAACCUAGAUAAUACAGAACAGCGGUAUAACUUACAAGAAUUUUGAGUCAGAACCAAGGCAAGUUGCCACUUACAUGUCCUAGUAGGUUCAGAGAAUGAUCUGACUCAUAAAAGUUUGCGUUCUUCCUGCCACUUACAAUCUCCAACACAAUGACUCCGAAGCUGAACACAUCGGAUUUAGUUGAGAAAAGGCCGUGCAUCAGAUACUCGGGAGACAUAUAACCACUGGUUUCAGUGAAAAGAGAAAAUGAGUCAUUUGAGUUUUAUGAGAAGUAUAUGCUGCACAUAACAAACAUGUGUAUAAAUACACAAAUGCAAGCAUGAAGUUACUUACUAUGUUCCAACAACCCGAUUUGUUUUGGCUCGACAUUCAUUCCCGGAUAAAAUUCUAGCCAAGCCAAAGUCUGAUAUCUUGGGGUUCAUGUAAGCAUCCAAUAAGAUGUUGCUAAUUUUAAGAUCGCGAUGAAUAAUUCUUAAUCUAGAGUACUUGUGAAGAUAAAGAAGCCCUUGAGCAAUCCCUUUGAUUAUGUGUAUGCGCUGUCUCCAAUUCAAUGACCUUGUCUUUGUUUUUUCUGCAAGAAUUGCAAUUCACAGCAUGAGAGAACUAAAGUGAGAACCAAUAACAGAAUAGGGAAGGCGCAUAGAUGAAUUUACAGACCGAAAAUGAAGGAAUCCAAGCUUUUAUUGGGCAUGUACUCGUAUAUUAGUAUCUUUUCUUCUCGGUGAAUGCAAAAGCCCAAAAGCUUGACAAGGUUUCUGUGCUGGAGCUUAGAGAUUAACUGCACCUCGUUCUUGAACUCCACGGGUCCUUGUCCAGAAUUUUUGGAUAGCCUUUUGACUGCAAUGUCAUGUUGUAGUAAUUUUCCCUGCAACAAACAGCAGAUAAAGGUUUUUUUCAUAUAAACUUUCAAUUAAAUAUAACUUAUCAAAAGAGACAUCGACAAAACCCGUCACACCAAAUGCCUUAUUGUUAGAAAAGCAGUACAAUUGCAACACAAACCUUAUAAACAGGCCCGAAACCACCUUGUCCAAGCUGAUUUGCAAGGGAGAAAUUAUUAGUGGAUGUCACUAUGAAUGAAAAGCUAAGCAGUGGCAACUCAUGAUCCUUCUGCUUUCCAAGUUCUGUAAUAUUUGGACAGCUAGCAUUAUCAUCGGAGCUCAACUGCGACAAUAAUAGCCUCAUACUAUCUCUCGUGCCAUUGCGGAAUCCAUAAAUUCCUGUUGUUGGUACAAAGAAGUCAGUCUACUCAUUUUAUUAAUUUGGCAAAAUUUACUGUGUUGGGCAAUCGAUAGAGCAGUUAACGUACCUAAAGAGUUGCACUUUAUCCAUAGCAAUAAGAUCAACAUGAAGAACACCAAGGGAAUCACCAUAAAUGUGACAGUCAACAGCUUCCUAUCUUAAGAAAGAAAAAGAAAAUAUUAUCUAUCAGAUUUUAGGGAGAAAAGGGGAGGCUGUUCAAUUCUUACCAUCUGAAAAACUUUAAAAGGCAUUUGAAUAAUAAAGGAUAUGCAGUUCCGCUAUUGAUUCUUCUUGUAACUAUCAAAGGUUGAGUAAUUGUAAAAGCUUACCAGAUUUAGAAGCGUUACCGCGCACAUAAAUGGUGCUGUUACCUGUCCCGACCAGUUUUUGAAGAUCGAUUUUAUUUCCAUAAUAAACCUGACAUAUAGUUCCACCAUCCGGCAAAGAAUCAUAUGUAUAUGCAACACAUGAGCAAUGGAUCGUGCAAAAUUUCUCGCAGUCAUAGGGAUCUAUCCGAAUUGGCCAACUUGUAAACAAUGAACUCGGCAGCAUUCCUGUGACAUUUGAGAAACUAUCUCUUUCUGAACACGCUGAUGGCCUCCUCACCAAACAGCGAGGAGAACUGCUUGCCAUUGUGUCAUCACAAAGUGAAUAAUCCACAUUCUUGAUCUCAUUUCCUAUCAUCGUGAACUCAUAAAUCAGCCCUUCAGAGGCUAACACGAACCAUGAAGGCAUGCUACUAUUUUUGUUGCUAAAAGUAACAUAAAUCUCAUUAGUUUUCCAACCCGAACUCACGUUGAGAUUAUCCAACGUGCUUUUGAAGAAGAAAUUAAACUCAUGGCCAUCCCAAAGUCCAAUCUGUUGGUAAGCUCCAUCACUGCGCCAGACGUUGAACUGAGUGUUGUUCACUGGAUCAAUGCCUAGAGCAUAAAUACCAUCAGCAGGGACAGAAGUGUUUGACCAGGACACAAGAAACUGUUUCCUCAACUGCUCGGUGUUUAUGUUGAACAACCCCAACUUCAUUCCAGGAAGAAACGUAUCCGUCGGGUAAUCAAAACUCUGCCAAAACGUGUCUCCUCCUUCCAUCAGAACAAGAUUUCCUGAGUCAAGAAGCGUUGCAGUUGUGUUAUUCCCUGACGCAAGUGCAUCGUAAUUCACAAUAUAUGAAAUGUUUCUUCUGUCAAUGAUCACCAUGUUCCCAUCAUUCCGGAUGGUGAGAAGUACACUCGACGAACCCACCAUUCCAUCGGAAUCCAGGGGGCUGUUUCUGUUUGCAACCCAAACUGGCUUUUGGUUCUUGUCAUUCUUGAACCAGAUUCCCAAGUACCCGUUCGGCGCUGAGGGGGAGCUGAAAAAGCCUAGCUCAAACACCCCGCCGGCAGAAACCAGGGUUUGAUUGCUGUACAAGUAUUGUCCAUGCCUGAGGGUGUCCGAUGAUGCAUGAGAUAAACACACAAAGAAGCAUGCGAAAGUACAGAACACAACAUGAAAUGGUCUCCAUGUUUUCAUGUUAUACAAAUUAUAGGGAGACAACAACCGUAUGAUGAAAGACUAUGUUGUGACGAGGGUUUUUAUACAAGGUUGUAACAUUUCCUGAUGAGAGAGAGAGAGAGUCAAAUGGUAGAGUGGUAGCAAUUCUUUGGAGUACGGCUUCUGGGAAGUGAAAGUAUGUUGGAAACUUAUGUUGGGACUUGCAAACAUGACAGGAUUACAGCCCAAGCAAUUUGACUUUGUGUUUUUGACCCUUAAUCCUAACCAAAAUCCAAGAAAGUGUUCAAUGCUUGUUGCCCAAGGCUAUGAACAUGAAUCUUAAGCAUUGAUAUCAUCGUUAUUAUAUUAUUCUAAGAAAAGUCAAAUGUUUCAAGGUUACAUCUUGUUUAUACUUUGUCCCUACCCUAACAUAGAUCGAAGUAUAAGAGGUUAAUGGAUAACACAUGCCAAACAAUCUUACGCAUUAUGACGUAUGAUCAAUUAGUUCAGCGUACCUAAAUUUUACUUUGUUGAAAGACGUAUGUUCGAGAUUUCACUCAAAAGCCUCUUACGUCAUUAGUCUAAGAGAGGGAAUUUUAGGAUUUAAUAAAAGUUUUCCAAUAGAUGGAUCUAACAAGUAAUGUGAAAUACUAAAAAGAACGAGCUAAUUCCAACCUACAUUUUUUUUCGAUCACUUUCAAAGAAGCACAAUUUUUUAACUUUUCUGCCGUUACUACCUAAAGCGUUAAUAUAUUAAUAAUUCAAAUCACUUUUGUAUCUGAUUUUUGAUAUGAUUUACAAAAGCCGGAGAUGAGUGAUCGGGUUUGGGUUGACAGACCCCCAUCUUCGUUGGUGCAUGUUUUGAAUAAGUAUGGUCUUCCUUUGUGGUGGUGGUUGGGGUGACACUCAACCUGGUUGUAGUGUCUGCUAGUUUGUAUCCCCUUCCAUCGUUUUCUUUCUCUUUGUGCCUGUUUGGUGUUCGCCAUUCGUUGGCUCUCCUGUUGUUUUCGGCUUCGGCCUUGGUUUGUUUUUCCAAAAAAAAAAAGGGCUCAAACUUGGAGUUUAUUUGUAAUUAGCUCAAAACUAAUAAUGGAAAUCCAAACAAAAGAGGGUUAUGAGGUCCCCAUUACCAUUAACAUUCCAAAUUUAACGGACUUCCCCCCGUGGGCCGGGUCGGUGUUAUAAUCAUUCCAUACCAAAACAAAAGUCUUCUGGUGUGGCUCAUUUCACCUGGAGCCCUUGGCCUUAGCUUCGCAGAGUUGACUCCACUUCCUCUUCCUCCAACUGUUCGACAAUCGCCCGAGUGAAACUCCACCACCCAUGUUUCCGAAGCAACUCCGCACCCUUGGCACAGCCGCCGCCGUACUCCUCGGCGGAUUCUUCACGCUCAACCUGGCUUCCACCGCCACAAUCGGAGCCCUCCGGUUCGCCGCCGAAUCCAAACGGGUAAAAAGACCAAAAACCCAGCUUUUAACUUUCAAAUCUCUCCUCCGUUUUUGCUGAAUUGGUCUUAUGGUCAUUUUGUUGGUGGGUUUUUGGGGCAGAGAAAGGUUGCGCUGCCUUGUGUGGUCUGCAGAGGUAAAGGGUUUUAUAUAUGCAAGCUUUGCAAAGGGAAUGCCACCAUUGAAUGGUCGCCGCUGUACGACCCAAUUGCCAUCAACCCCUGCCUUUGCCCUACCUGUGAUGGAAAUAGGUAUAUUCAACAGUGAUAUUGCUUGCUUUGAUUACGCGCCGGAAAAUUGAUAAAAUAUAAUACAAUACGGUAUGUAAUGAAGGGUUAUAUUACUGUGUCGAGGCAUUUCACGGUAAAUUUCAUUAUUGUGGUGUUAGUGGGUAAUAAUAAGGAACUUUAACGAAAAGUUUCGGUACUGUUUGUUUUAACGAAAAAUUAUAUUUUUACAUUAAAAAGUCAAUUCUGGUACUAUUUAUUUUACCAUUUAUGUUGUUUUUAUCGUUAAAACUAAAAAUUUUCAAAAAUCUUUAAUUAGUUUUCCUUAAUAAUAAAAACUUUAACGAUACUUAACAGUGAAUUCCUCGUCCGUCUGACAUCUUGACAAUUGACAUUGCUUCAUCUUCCGAAAUUUUGGGUGUUGGUCAAAUGUAAAGCAACUUUUUGGCUUUUAAUUUGAUUAAAUUGGUUACGUGAUGCUUUGUUUAUCUUGGGAUUUUGCAGGGUGCAGCACUGCCUCAACUGUCUAGGGACGGGAUAUAUUUGAGUUUUUGUAUAAUAAGAGGCAGAUGAACUAUUUAGUACUACAGUUUAAUAGUAUUUAUUUUCAUUUGUACGUUUUAAGUUGCGUUAAGUGUCAUGUCUAAAAUUGCUACACUGCUUGAGACAUCUUGCAAACUACAUAUAUAUUCAGCAGAUUGAAGGAUGAAAAGUAGAUGUAUUUAGAACUGUAGCUAUAAUUAACGCUAUUUUAUAGGAAAACAAAAGGAGGCAAAAAACAAAAAAUAAAAAGCCCAAAGACCGAGAGAAAGGGAAAAGUUUCUUUUCGGAUUCCUUCCACCAAAUUCACUCCAUCAAUCAAUUCGAAUAUUUAAAAUUUGAUCUAACGGCUAUAAAUAAGGGAUUCCUUUAAAAGUUAUAAAAACUUUAAUUGUUGGAUUAAAUUUUAAAAGUUCAAAUUGAUUGAUGAGAUGAAUUUAAUGGAAAUGAUCCGAAGAUAAUUCUUUUCCAAGAGAAAGUUCAAUUUGCUAAAGUCUCUAAAGAAAAAUUUAUGCCAACAAACAAUCUCAUCGGUAUUAGUCAUCGUGCACCUCCUCCAUCGUCUACAUGGCUCAUCACACUGCUCAUAGAAACCUACGCGUAGAUCAGCCUGGAGGCCCCCACCAUCUGAUAUCCCUAUAGGGGCCCACAACCGUCCGAUUGCGGUGGUGUUCCUGCUUGUACUGCGCCGCGUGUUACGUAGCAGCACCAUCCUCGACGUGGCAGUCUCUCCUUAGUUCCCGCCUUGUCAUCGGAAUGAAUCAUCAGCGGCCCACGUACACCUUGGCUCAGAUGCUAACUUGCGCCGGUGUCGAUAUUCAAUCUUCUACGUUUGAGAAUCUAAAUAAAUAAAAAAUACGAUUAGGAUUAGGAUUAUGAUUCUAAGAAAACGAACUGGGUUGCAAUAUGUAUUUACUUCUUUUUGUUUUUCAUAAAGCAAAACCCGUUUGUUCAUGAUUUAUGCCUCUUCCUUACUUCUCAAGCUUCAUUUUUACGUAUUUUAAAAUUAUUAGUCAAGUUAUUAAGACUGUCGUGAAAAACUAUUUCAAAUUAACAAUAAGUAUAACUCUCGUUUAUAUAUUCAGCAUUGAAAAGCUACGAUGUUUACGUUAGAAACCAAAUAAUCACUAUUAAAAUUAGGGAGAUUAUAUUCAUACACACUAAAUUACUUCUUUCACAUCUUUUUAAUUUUUUUAAUUUUAUCAAGUGUUAGUGGUGUGUAGAAAAUAUUAAAAAAAAAUUAAAAUGCGAGAAAAAUAAAUUAAAGUUUUUGAAUAUAAUCUUUUUUAAAUUAUUCAUCUAUGCAAAUUCCUUAUGAUAUUUAUUUUCCUACUUUUUGUUCGUCUAUGCAAAUUCCUGAAGACUUGAAAAAGUAUUGAUGUUCCAAUAAUUUCCAAACGUGUGCACUCGGCGCAAUGUAGCACAGAUUCCUUAAAUUUAAUUAAAUUAUAUCUUCGAAAGGUUUUCCCAAUUGGACUACAAGACAAAAAAAAAGGAGGUUAUCUCGUUGGAAUAUAACCGCCAACAGGCCAAAUGGAAGGUCAUCAUCCUACGAGAAUCCUUCCGCUCAAUGAAAUAAUGCCCUUGCAUGGCUUCUUAUUAACAAAAAUGCCACUCGUCAAUUAAAAUUGUUUGCUCCACUAAUCAACCGUAACCACCUCUUGGUUCAAAAAUGGACCCAUUCAAUUGUGAAGGAUCUUUGGUUGAUUUGUUUGUUUCUCAUAAUAAAUUUCGACGGUUAAGGAUUCCAUCGGAUACCGUACUGUACUGGGUUUGUCUUUUUCUUUUUCAAUUAUUUAUGAACGUUCAAGUUGAUUUAUGACAUGAAAAAAUUCAAAGUAUGGGUUUAGCUUACCAAUAAGUUCAAUUUAUAACAAGAAAGUGAUGCAUUUUUUUUUUGUCAACAAAAAAGUGAUAGACCAUGUAUGAAAUUAAGUAAUGAAAUAUGCAUUCAUAGUGUGUGUGUAUAUAUUCAAUCUUUCUUGAAUUUUCUAUAACUAAGAUAAACGUAUAAAUUUUGCUUUUUAAAAGAGACAUGUCAAACGAAAAAGAAAACUCGACUCUCAAACUAUUAAAUUCAAGAACAUAACUUUGUAUUUCUGCGUGUUUACAUGAUUCAUCUCAACCUACAUAUAUAUUGUCCAUCCUUCACAAUCAAUCAAAGCAAAAUAGGAACACAUGCAUCUACAAAAUAUAAGCAGCGAAAUUUUAACUACAAAAUCACAACCGAAUAUAUAUUAAACUCAAACUUAAAUAUACAUGAAAGUAAAUUAAAUAUACAUGACAAAACCAUUUUUUUGUUAAAUGAAUUACACAAUACUUGAUUAGUAGUAAACACGUAUUGUUAGACAAAAAGCUCCACACUUUGAGGGGUAAGAAGAAAUCCCAUGUCUAUUGGGAUUAGAUUUAGAAGCCCACAAAAUCAGAUCAACAACAUAUAGAAUUCCUAUAUUUUUUAUGAUUGGAACAUUCUUAUUUCACAAGAAUCAUGUUAGGUGGAUUUUAACCUAAAAAAGGUACCCUUAUCUUCCUAAUUCUUCUUAAAUUUAUACAAGUAAUUAUUAUUUAUUUCCAGCCAUUUACAAGUUAUAUCAUAUUACUUUUCAAUUUUCAUCAAUAAAAAAAAGGUGAAAGAAAAGAGGGAAAAAAUGUGAGAGAAGUUGUCACAUUCUGAGCUCGACUCCGCCGUAGCAUGAUAUUGUCCGCUUUGGGCCCCGAUUAUACCCUCACGGUUUUGUUUUUGGGAACUCACAUGAGAACUUUCCAGUGGGUCACUCAUCAUGGGAUUGCUCUCGCACGAACUCGCUUAACUUCGAAUUUAAGAUGGAAUCUGAAGUCAGUGAGCUCCCAAAUGCCUUGUGCUAGGUAGAGAUAAGAAUAUACAUAUAAGGCUUACAUGAUCCACUCCCCUGGGCGAUGUGAGAUGUUACAAUCCACCCCCCUCAUUCGGGGCCCGACUUUCUCGUUGGCACACUUUCGGCUAGGGAUUGGUUCUGAUACCAAAUUGUCACAUCCCCGCCUGGGCCCUCACCACAUCCCUGGGUCCCCCCUUAUUCGGGGCCCGACUUUCUCGUUGGCACACUUUUGGCCAAGGAUUAGUUCUGAUACCAAAUUGUCACAUCCCGGCCUGGGCCCCCACCACAUCCCUGGGUCGACUUCAUUGUAGCACGAUAUUGUCCACUUUGAGCCCCGACCACGCCCUCAUAGUUUUGUUUCAGGGAAUUCACACGAGAACUUUCCAGUGGGUCACUCAUCCUGGGAUUGCUCUCGCUCGAACUUGCUUAACUUCGGAGUUCCGAUAGAACCCAAAGCCAGUGAGCUCUCAAAAGACCUCGUGCUAGGUAGAGAUGAGAAUAUACAUAUAAGGCUUACAAGAUCCACUCCCCUGGACGAUGUGGGAUGUUACAGAAGUCACUUAAUUUCCACACAAAUUCUUUAACUAUCAAAAGACAAUUUUAUUAUAUAUAUAAAAAAAAUAUUGUUAUUGGCACUCCAAACUUUCUAUAUUUAUAAAGAAAAAUAUGUAUUGUGUAGAGUGUAGAAUGAGAUUUUUAGAGUACCAGUAACAAUUUCCUAAAAAAAUCUAUGUUUGUUUUUUUAUUAAUUAAUUAGGUUUUAUUUACGAACUAACUAUGUUGAUCGCAUUUGAAAAAAAAAAAACUAAAAUGAUAUGUACAUCGAAACAGAAAACGAAUAAAAAGCAACAAAAAUUCAUUUGGAAACAGAGUGGCAACCUGGAAAUUUUGAGAAACUCUUGGGGCAACGAGUUGACAUUCUCCCGCUACACUCCCAUACAAGCAAACAUUCGCAUCACACAGAGUGUUUCUCAACGCACCCAAACAACCCCUCUCUCUCUCUCUCUCUCUCUCUCUCUCUCUCUCUCUAUGACAACCAUGAAAGAGCCACCUCUCUCCCGUCGCAGAAGGCCCACUUGCCACCAGCCCAAGAAGCUGAAGCUCGUCUGCUGCUUCAACGGCGCAUUCCACCCCCGCCCGCCGUCCGGGAAGCUACGCUACGUCGGCGGCGAGGCCAGAAUCGUGUCCGUGGACCGUAACAUCGGGUUCUCGAAGCUCCGAUCAAAGAUUUUGGAUCUUUGCCCCAGCAUUAACCCCACAUUCACUCUCAAGUACCAGCUCCCGGGUUCCGGCUCCGGCUCCGACUCCGCUGCCCCUCUCGCCCUCAUCGCGUCAGAUGACGACGUUCGGUGCAUGAUCGAAGAGUACGACAAGCUCGAGCUGUACGGUAAGUCCCCGAGGCUCUGGGUUUUUGUUUGUUGUAGAAAUGGCAGUGAUAAUGUCAGUGGUUAUGUGAAUUGCGUGAAAGGUGUGAACCUUAGUGAGGGGUUUGAGUCAGAGAGCGAACAUGUAGGGACCCACCGCCGCCAUUUGAGGGGCGGAGCUCAGGUGGAGAAGAAGGCGGCGGUGAAGAACUUUGGGGGCGUACGGUCCGGCGAUGAAUCGCUUAGAAAAAUGGUGCUGAAACGGCAAUUGCUUGCAAAGCAAUCGGCUUUUCGCCGUCGUUUUGGUACUAGUGAGAAUGAUGAAAUAGGGUUUUUGGGUGAAUCCCAAAAGUGUGAAUCUUUUGAUCAGGGCAGAGACUUGUUGGAUGACAGAUUAGGGAGUAAACGUUGUGACAAUGUAGGGAGUUUUUUGGUGUCUCGGGCAAAUCCGCUGAAUCCCAGAGAUGGGAAUUUGAGGGUGGAAGGUAAGGGUUUUGGGCUGCGCUGUCCGGCAUGGUCGGGUCAGAUUUUGUGUAAUGGGGUUGGGAGGUCGAGUCAGGCAGUGGCAACUGCGCCGCCUGCGAAACCAUUACCGGGUUGUAAUGGUUGUUGUAGUGAUGUUAAGCAGGAUUUUGAAAACAAUGCAAUGGCUGGGAUUAGUUAUGUGAACAGAGAAAACGUUAUGCCUUUGGAGACCAAUUGUGAUUUGGUGAAGAAUGGAUUGAGUUGUAAUUCUGGUGCUGAUUCUUUGGCUGGAACUACUGCGUAUCCUGUGAAGUCUUCUUAUAGUGGUGAUAGGGUGUGGGGCGGCUUAAAGAGCGGGAUUCGUAACCAUAGAUUUGGUGUGAAUGAUGCUAGAAAUCAGCGGUGUUAUCAGUACCAUGUUCGGAAUCAUCAUAGGAGCAACAUGACUGAGAUGGGGAUCCAAAGAACGAAGCAGGGGAUUUCAGCUUGGAAAUGCUACCCCGGACUUAUGCCAAAUUUGAACAUUGCAAAGCAAGGGCAGUCUCUGAGAGUAUAUCAUCCGAGUAUAUGGAGGCAAUGCUCUGGUUUUCCUGAGCAUGCAGUGGAAGAAAGGGUGAGGAUGAUGGAUUCUCGUUCAAUGAAAGACAACUACUUGAUCGAUGUGCUAUAUGGUAAUGAGAAACUGAGUAAACGGAGUGGCCCUGCAGUUUCACAGCAAGGGAAUUAUAAUCCGAGUAAAUCCUAUUCAGGUUUUUGUGGUGCAUUUACUGGCGUGGGAAAUCAAUCUCUCAUGAGUUCUAAUGCCAUUGAGAGUUCAUCUCCAUCUGUGAAGACAAUGGACAUUCUGGAAGAUCUCUUAACUGGUUCUGAUUUUGGGAAGUGUGAUGGUCCAUAUCAAACUUCACAUGAAAAUUUUCAUGGAAUGUCCGGAAAUUGUGAGUUUCAGAAGGAGAUGCGCCUGUUGGACUCUCAUGAGGUUGCUAACACCUCUGGGGCUUUUUUUUUUUUUUUUUUUUUUUUUUUUUUUUUUUUUUUUUUUUUUUUUUUUUUUUUUUUUUUUUUUUUUUUUUUUUUUUUUUUUUUUUUUUUUUUUUUUUUUUUUUUUUUUUUUUUUUUUUUUUUUUUUUUUUUUUUUUUUUUUUUUUU
RNAcentral lists this long non-coding RNA (14903 nucleotides) under Malus domestica (apple). RNAcentral describes it as "long non-coding RNA (MDOM_LNC014671)". The record is from RNAcentral. Lineage: Eukaryota; Viridiplantae; Streptophyta; Magnoliopsida; Rosales; Rosaceae.